AGCGGCGGACGGGUGAGUAAUGCCUGGGAAUAUGCCCUGAUGUGGGGGAUAACUAUUGGAAACGAUAGCUAAUACCGCAUAAUCUCUUCGGAGCAAAGAGGGGGACCUUCGGGCCUCUCGCGUCAGGAUUAGCCCAGGUGGGAUUAGCUUGUUGGUGAGGUAAUGGCUCGCCAAGGCAACGAUCCCUAGCUGGUCUGAGAGGAUGAUCAGCCACACUGGAACUGAGACACGGUCCAGACUCCUACGGGAGGCAGCAGUGGGGAAUAUUGCACAAUGGGGGAAACCCUGAUGCAGCCAUGCCGCGUGUGUGAAGAAGGCCUUCGGGUUGUAAAGCACUUUCAGUAGGGAGGAAGGUAGUGUAGUUAACACCUGCACUAUUUGACGUUACCUACAGAAGAAGCACCGGCUAACUCCGUGCCAGCAGCCGCGGUAAUACGGAGGGUGCGAGCGUUAAUCGGAAUUACUGGGCGUAAAGCGCAUGCAGGCGGCCUGUUAAGUCAGAUGUGAAAGCCCGGGGCUUAACCUCGGAAUUGCAUUUGAAACUGGCAGG
RNAcentral lists this ribosomal RNA (550 nucleotides) under uncultured bacterium. RNAcentral's name for it is "bacterial SSU rRNA". It matches the Rfam family "Bacterial small subunit ribosomal RNA", at positions 94 to 640 of the family's 1533-position model. The record is from RNAcentral.